AAAAAAGCAAUGAUGAAAGAGUAAGUAGCCUAAUGAAUGUUACAAGAGAGCUGACGGGUGGUGUGAGUCAGCAGCUGACAUUAGUGCGAAUGGACUUUCUAGCUCUGAACCGAACCGCAGUGCGAAGUAGGAUUCAGCGACUAAGCCUUAUCGUUAUACAAGGCACCAUUUGGCCUGAAAGGCAGAUGGAAUAAAGUGAACUUAUUCGUAAGUUAAACAAGGUGGCACCACGGGUUUCUCGUCCUUGUC
Molecule: non-coding RNA, 249 nt
Filed under: Listeria floridensis
Lineage: Bacteria; Bacillati; Bacillota; Bacilli; Caryophanales; Listeriaceae
Description: T-box sequence
Rfam family: T-box leader
About the family: Uncharged tRNA acts as the effector for transcription antitermination of genes in the T-box leader family. T-boxes are found upstream of many aminoacyl-tRNA synthetase genes and some amino acid biosynthetic genes usually in Gram-positive bacteria. The anticodon of a specific tRNA base pairs to a specifier sequence within the T-box motif, and the NCCA acceptor tail of the tRNA base pairs to a conserved bulge in the T-box antiterminator hairpin.
Source: RNAcentral